AUUAACAAGUGUUUGGGUAGUGUAUGGCUACACAACAGAGAAACUUAAGAUGGUGGUGGGAACUGAAGAACACUUCUCAUUUCAUUAGCAUCAAUAGCUUGUGCCAACGUUGUGGUCGGUCGACGCUGACCCAGUCACAGCAAUGAUUAGAGUAGCCAUAGUAUUGUGCAACCUGACAACUCACUUCAGCCUGUCAGCAAACUACAUGGCAACUACAUGGCGUGCUAUUCUAAGCUGUAGUCACAAACCAGAAGGGCUACAGGAAACUGUGGCAUCUACUCCGUCGUGUGAGCCAGCAAAAUGCAUUGUGUUUGAGGCCUCUGCUUGUAGAUAAGCAGAACCUCGGCUUUGAGUUCUAUUGUUUGAAUCUCAAGGUUGUGCAUAUGUAAAGAAGUCACAUGUAGAUUGCAGUUUUUUAUCUUUGGAUCAAGAUGGAUGAUAUCAAAUGUUGUGUUUUAUUGUGUGAGAGGACCGGGACAGAUUGACUUCUCUAAAUAGAAUACUUUAGUUUUGCAUAGAGAUCUCUUUGAUCAUUUUUCAAUAUCC
This 546-nucleotide long non-coding RNA is filed under the name Setaria italica (foxtail millet). Its description in RNAcentral is "long non-coding RNA (SITA_LNC006110)". Lineage: Eukaryota; Viridiplantae; Streptophyta; Magnoliopsida; Poales; Poaceae. The record is from RNAcentral.